Molecule: ribosomal RNA, 880 nt
Filed under: marine sediment metagenome
Description: bacterial SSU rRNA
Rfam family: Bacterial small subunit ribosomal RNA
Source: RNAcentral
AGCUAGAGUAUGGGAGAGGAUGGUAGAAUUCCAGGUGUAGCGGUGAAAUGCGUAGAGAUCUGGAGGAAUACCGAUGGCGAAGGCAGCCAUCUGGCCUAAUACUGACACUGAGGUGCGAAAGCAUGGGGAGCAAACAGGAUUAGAUACCCUGGUAGUCCAUGCCGUAAACGAUGUCUACUAGCCGUUGGGGGAUUUGAUCCUUUAGUGGCGCAGCUAACGCGAUAAGUAGACCGCCUGGGGAGUACGGUCGCAAGACUAAAACUCAAAUGAAUUGACGGGGGCCCGCACAAGCGGUGGAGCAUGUGGUUUAAUUCGAUGCAACGCGAAGAACCUUACCUGGCCUUGACAUAGUAGAAACUUUCCAGAGAUGGAUUGGUGCCUUCGGGAAUCUACAUACAGGUGCUGCAUGGCUGUCGUCAGCUCGUGUCGUGAGAUGUUGGGUUAAGUCCCGCAACGAGCGCAACCCUUUUCCUUACUUGCCAGCAUUUCGGAUGGGAACUCUAAGGAUACUGCCAGUGACAAACUGGAGGAAGGCGGGGACGACGUCAAGUCAUCAUGGCCCUUACGACCAGGGCUACACACGUGCUACAAUGGUAGGUACAGAGGGCAGCUACACAGCGAUGUGAUGCUAAUCUCAAAAAGCCGAUCGUAGUCCGGAUCGCAGUCUGCAACUCGACUGCGUGAAGUCGGAAUCGCUAGUAAUCGCGGAUCAGAAUGCCGCGGUGAAUACGUUCCCGGGCCUUGUACACACCGCCCGUCACACCAUGGGAGUUGAUUGCACCAGAAGUGGGUAGCCUAACCGCAAGGAGGACGCUUACCAGGUGUGGCCGAUGACUGGGGUGAAGUCGUAACAAGGUAGCCGUAGGGGAACCUGCGGCUG